CCUACGGGGGGCUGCAGUGGGGAAUAUUGGACAAUGGGGGGAACCCUGAUCCAGCCAUGCCGCGUGUGUGAAGAAGGCCCUUGGGUUGUAAAGCACUUUCAGUGAGGAAGAACGCCUGGUGGUUAAUACCCAUCAGGAAAGACAUCACUCACAGAAGAAGCACCGGCUAACUCCGUGCCAGCAGCCGCGGUAAUACGGAGGGUGCGAGCGUUAAUCGGAAUUACUGGGCGUAAAGCGCGCGUAGGUGGCUUGAUAAGUCGGUUGUGAAAGCCCCGGGCUCAACCUGGGAACGGCAUCCGGAACUGUCAAGCUAGAGUGCAGGAGAGGAAGGUAGAAUUCCCGGUGUAGCGGUGAAAUGCGUAGAGAUCGGGAGGAAUACCAGUGGCGAAGGCGGCCUUCUGGACUGACACUGACACUGAGGUGCGAAAGCGUGGGUAGCAAACAGGAUUAGAUACCCCGGUAGUC
RNAcentral lists this ribosomal RNA (465 nucleotides) under Vreelandella stevensii. RNAcentral's name for it is "partial 16S ribosomal RNA". It matches the Rfam family "Bacterial small subunit ribosomal RNA", at positions 338 to 795 of the family's 1533-position model. Lineage: Bacteria; Pseudomonadati; Pseudomonadota; Gammaproteobacteria; Oceanospirillales; Halomonadaceae. The record is from RNAcentral.